GAUGAACGCUGGCGGCGUGCCUAAUACAUGCAAGUCGAGCGAACAGACGAGGAGCUUGCUCCUCUGACGUUAGCGGCGGACGGGUGAGUAACACGUGGAUAACCUACCUAUAAGACUGGGAUAACUUCGGGAAACCGGAGCUAAUACCGGAUAAUAUAUUGAACCGCAUGGUUCAAUAGUGAAAGACGGUUUUGCUGUCCCUUAUAGAUGGAUCCGCGCCGCAUGAGCUAGUUGGUAAGGUAACGGCUUACCAAGGUAACGAUGCGUAGCCGACCUGAGAGGGUGAUCGGCCACACUGGAACUGAGACACGGUCCAGACUCCUACGGGAGGCAGCAGUAGGGAAUCUUCCGCAAUGGGCGAAAGCCUGACGGAGCAACGCCGCGUGAGUGAUGAAGGUCUUCGGAUCGUAAAACUCUGUUAUUAGGGAAGAACAAAUGUGUAAGUAACUAUGCACGUCUUGACGGUACCUAAUCAGAAAGCCACGGCUAACUACGUG
This 497-nucleotide ribosomal RNA is filed under the name uncultured bacterium. RNAcentral's name for it is "partial 16S ribosomal RNA". It matches the Rfam family "Bacterial small subunit ribosomal RNA", at positions 28 to 507 of the family's 1533-position model. The record is from RNAcentral.